AUGUUCCACCAUUGCUGCUACCAAGGCUGUGUCUAUCAUGCCCCUGAGAACAGGACAGAGAAAACCAGAAGUACGUUGGAUCAUAUUGUGGAGCGCUGUAUGGAGGUCCAUCAACAAUCAGCAGUGGAACUAGGGAGUGAAAAAUCAAUAAAGUGGUAUAAGCCAGAUAGCAUGAAAUGUACAACUUCUAGACCACCGUGGAUUUAUGCUCAAAGUGACCUUGACCUGUAUACAUCUAUUCUGCAAUUUCCUAUCAUUAAUUUAUUAUGUACCACUCCUAACCACACAGAAAACAAAAGAAAACAAAACCAAAACACACAAAACUUCAGGGCUGGAUGUGUUUUCUUUUCC
Molecule: long non-coding RNA, 351 nt
Filed under: Anas platyrhynchos platyrhynchos (common mallard)
Lineage: Eukaryota; Metazoa; Chordata; Aves; Anseriformes; Anatidae
Description: lncRNA (ENSAPLG00000029424.1)
Source: RNAcentral